Hyaena hyaena (striped hyena) is the source of this 161-nucleotide small nuclear RNA. RefSeq annotates it as U1 spliceosomal RNA. The record is from RefSeq and is a predicted model, not a curated record. The transcript has a single exon. NCBI's taxonomy places the organism in Eukaryota, Metazoa, Chordata, Mammalia, Carnivora, Hyaenidae.
GUAUUUACCUGAUAGGGGAGAUAUCAUGAUCAGAGAGGUGGUUUUUCUAGGGCAAGGCUUUUCCAUUGAUUCCAGAUGUGCUGACUCUUGCAUUUUCCUAAAUAUGGGAAACUCGACUGUAUAAUUUGUGGUGGGGGCACACUGUGUUCGUCUGUUCCCCU